Dendrobium catenatum is the source of this 647-nucleotide long non-coding RNA. RefSeq lists it as uncharacterized. The record is from RefSeq and is a predicted model, not a curated record. Lineage: Eukaryota; Viridiplantae; Streptophyta; Magnoliopsida; Asparagales; Orchidaceae. The transcript has 2 exons.
UCUAUGAAAACCCGCCUGAUACCCUAGCUUGUUUGGGCACGAAACUCAUCUUCCUUUGACAUUUGCUCAUCUUCUCCAUUCCAUCGAAGAAUGAAAUGGAUCUCUUUUCCCGUCAAAACGCAGCCCAAGGUUGGCGUCAGAGCCUCCCAUCUAGCCUUCUGUAUGUUCUACCUCUAAAACAGAAAAAAAUCUAUUAGAUAUAAAACGGCGUACGACGGAGCGAUAGGCACACUUCCAGGGAAGGAGCACUGGUUGAUACUUAGUGAUGGCGAGAUUGUAGGUAAACCAAUUUCAUGUAGGCCUCGAGGUAAACUGAAGAAAAGAAGAAUUAAAAACUUCUUAGAAACUACAAAGAAGACUAAAAUGAGCUAUAAGUGUGGAUGUUGCAAUUCUUGCGGACACCAUAGAAGCACUUGUAAGAACCCUUUAAAUGCUGAUAGAGAAGGAAAUGAUCAUGACUUUCAUAUGCCAUAACUUCUGCUCCACGUGAAAAAAUGCCAAUUAGGCAUGCUGGUCGUCUAGCCGGUUGUUGCUAAUCUUUAAUUGUUUUAAGCUUACAACAAACAGAAUUUUGUGCCAUUUAAUUAAGCAACUAUUUAGUAUCAAGAAUUUUGUAACCAUUUAGUAAUGCAACUACUUUGUAUCCA